GGGGAUGUAACUCAGCGGGAGAGUGCCACAAUGGCAUUGUGGAAGUCGAGGGUUCAAAUCCCUUCAUCUCCACCA
This 75-nucleotide transfer RNA is filed under the name Thermoclostridium stercorarium. Its description in RNAcentral is "tRNA-Ala". It matches the Rfam family "tRNA". From Rfam's summary of the family: Transfer RNA (tRNA) molecules are approximately 80 nucleotides in length. Their secondary structure includes four short double-helical elements and three loops (D, anti-codon, and T loops). The record is from RNAcentral. RNAcentral also lists the same sequence under 3 other names. Lineage: Bacteria; Bacillati; Bacillota; Clostridia; Eubacteriales; Oscillospiraceae.